RNAcentral lists this ribosomal RNA (425 nucleotides) under uncultured bacterium. RNAcentral's name for it is "bacterial SSU rRNA". It matches the Rfam family "Bacterial small subunit ribosomal RNA", at positions 356 to 773 of the family's 1533-position model. The record is from RNAcentral.
GGGGAAUUUUGGACAAUGGGCGCAAGCCUGAUCCAGCAAUGCCGCGUGCAGGAAGAAGGCCUUCGGGUUGUAAACUGCUUUUGUCAGGGAAGAAAUCCUCUGGGUUAAUACCUCGGGGGGACGACGGUACCUGAAGAAUAAGCACCGGCUAACUACGUGCCAGCAGCCGCGGUAAUACGUAGGGUGCGAGCGUUAAUCGGAAUUACUGGGCGUAAAGCGUGCGCAGGCGGUUGUGCAAGACAGGUGUGAAAUCCCCGGGCUUAACCUGGGAACUGCACUUGUGACUGCACGGCUAGAGUACGGUAGAGGGGGAUGGAAUUCCGCGUGUAGCAGUGAAAUGCGUAGAUAUGCGGAGGAACACCGGUGGCGAAGGCAAUCCCCUGGACCUGUACUGACGCUCAUGCACGAAAGCGUGGGGAGCAAAC